GUGUGAAUAUGCUUAUAGAUUAUUAAUAUACUAUUUUAAUCAUUUAAUUUCAGUAUGUGUGUAUGUAUGUUAUGUGUCUGUGAGCCUAUUCUCCAUUUUGGAUAUAACUGUCAGCUGUACAUCCAGAUUGACCUAGACCACCUCAAAGAUCUUAAAAUGCUUGAACCCCGGUAAUCGCUGCUUGCAGCUAUAUUUAUUAUUAUUAGGGGUUCAAGCACGCAGUGCUGAAACCCUAUUGUAAUUGUUAGGAUUUUUAUUAUUAUUAUUAUUAUUAUUAUUAUUAUUAUUCUUCCGCCUUAAAACUGAACGGGCAGCCCAAACCGUAAGGCCUAGAGAGCUGAAACUUGGUCAAAAGGUAGUAGUCUUGCUCGCUACUCAGGCGCAAAGAACCGGCCCAAUCGGCCUAACGGGGGCGCUACAGCGCAAAAUACAAAAAUUUCAGACAUUUUUGGCUGUAGCUCGUAAACCGGUUGUCGUAGACUCAAAAACAUGGCAUCGUUGCAAUCCUUGGGUUAGCCCGAACAAAAUUGCUCUGCUGGUUUUUUCGCUCUACGGCGCAUCGUUUUCUCGCAAAAUCGAGUUAUAUCUGAAACCUACUUUUGCGAACUAGUCCUAGGUUUUUC
This is a long non-coding RNA of Cyprinus carpio carpio, 623 nucleotides long. The record is from Ensembl. NCBI's taxonomy places the organism in Eukaryota, Metazoa, Chordata, Actinopteri, Cypriniformes, Cyprinidae.